Molecule: non-coding RNA, 77 nt
Filed under: Clostridium puniceum
Lineage: Bacteria; Bacillati; Bacillota; Clostridia; Eubacteriales; Clostridiaceae
Description: ZTP sequence
Rfam family: ZMP/ZTP riboswitch aptamer (pfl RNA motif)
About the family: Previously known as pfl RNA. ZMP is also known as AICAR.
Source: Rfam by way of RNAcentral
UAUUGGUCAUAUGACUGACGGAAGUGGAUUAACCACAUGAAGUAUGACUAAAAAAGCCGACCGUCUGGGCAAAAAGC